ACAGCAGCAGCCGCGGUAAUACGAGGGGUGCAAGCGUUGCACGGAAUUAUUGGGCGUAAAGGGUAGGUAGGUGGUCUCAUUUGUCGGGGGUGAAAGCCUUGGGCUUAACCCAAGAAGUGCCCCCGAAACGGUGAGACUCGAGUCUUGGAGAGGGUCGUGGAAUUCCCGGUGUAGCGGUGAAAUGCGUAGAGAUCGGGAGGAACACCAGAGGCGAAGGCGGCGACCUGGACAAGUACUGACACUCAACUACGAAAGCGUGGGGAGCAAACAGGAUUAGAUACCCCAGUAGUCCCUGUCUCUUAUAC
Molecule: ribosomal RNA, 305 nt
Filed under: uncultured bacterium
Lineage: Bacteria
Description: partial 16S ribosomal RNA
Rfam family: Bacterial small subunit ribosomal RNA
Source: RNAcentral